UCAUCGUGAUACGAGACAUCAAAUUAUUUCACGUGUAUAGUACGGCGGUUUACUUUACGAGCUAGGGAUAGACUUUUCCCUAGUGAGGGAAAUGGCACAUUCCCACCCUAGUAAAGUAAAAAAAAUUCCAUAUUUUCCAUUUUUGU
Bradysia coprophila is the source of this 146-nucleotide long non-coding RNA. NCBI's taxonomy places the organism in Eukaryota, Metazoa, Arthropoda, Insecta, Diptera, Sciaridae. The record is from RefSeq and is a predicted model, not a curated record.